UACGUAGGGGGCAAGCGUUGUCCGGAAUUAUUGGGCGUAAAGCGCGCGCAGGCGGUUAAUUAAGUCAGAUGUGAAAGGCUGCGGCUCAACCGUAGAGUUGCAUUUGAAACUGGUUAACUUGAGUGCAGGAGAGGUAAGUGGAAUUCCCGGUGUAGCGGCGGAAUGCGUAGAGAUCGGGGGGAACACCGGUGGCGAAGGCGGCUUACUGGCCUGCAACUGACGCUGAGGCGCGAAAGCGUGGGGAGCGAACAGG
RNAcentral lists this ribosomal RNA (253 nucleotides) under uncultured bacterium. RNAcentral describes it as "partial 16S ribosomal RNA". It matches the Rfam family "Bacterial small subunit ribosomal RNA", at positions 524 to 776 of the family's 1533-position model. The record is from RNAcentral.